Molecule: ribosomal RNA, 460 nt
Filed under: uncultured bacterium
Lineage: Bacteria
Description: partial 16S ribosomal RNA
Rfam family: Bacterial small subunit ribosomal RNA
Source: RNAcentral
CCUACGGGGGGCAGCAGUGAGGAAUAUUGGUCAAUGGACGAGAGUCUGAACCAGCCAAGUAGCGUGAAGGAUGACUGCCCCAUGGGUUGUAAACUUCUUUUAUAUGGGAAUAAAAUGUUCCACGUGUGGGAUUUUGUAUGUACCAUAUGAAUAAGGAUCGGCUAACUCCGUGCCAGCAGCCGCGGUAAUACGGAGGAUCCGAGCGUUAUCCGGAUUUAUUGGGUUUAAAGGGAGCGUAGGUGGAUUGUUAAGUCAGUUGUGAAAGUUUGCGGCUCAACCGUAAAAUUGCAGUUGAAACUGGCAGUCUUGAGUACAGUAGAGGUGUGCGGAAUUCGUGGUGUAGCGGUGAAAUGCUUAGAUAUCACGAAGAACUCCGAUUGCGAAGGCAGUUCACUGGACUGCAACUGACACUGAGGCUCGAAAGUGUGGGUAUCAAACAGGAUUAGAUACCCGAGUAGUC